UAUUGUUCAUCAUAUACCUGA
This 21-nucleotide non-coding RNA is filed under the name Arabidopsis thaliana (thale cress). Lineage: Eukaryota; Viridiplantae; Streptophyta; Magnoliopsida; Brassicales; Brassicaceae. The record is from RNAcentral.